Molecule: ribosomal RNA, 245 nt
Filed under: uncultured bacterium
Lineage: Bacteria
Description: partial 16S ribosomal RNA
Rfam family: Bacterial small subunit ribosomal RNA
Source: RNAcentral
GACGAGGGAUCCUAGCGUUGUUCGGAAUCAUUGGGCGUAAAGCGGGUGCAGGUGGCUAUGUAAGUCAGGUGUGAAAGCCUGGGGCUCAACCCCAGAAGUGCAUUUGAUACUGCGUAGCUUGAGUGCUAGAGAGGAUAGUAGAAUUCCUGGUGUAGUGGUGAAAUACGUAGAUAUCAGGAGGAAUACCGGAGGCGAAGGCGGCUAUCUGGCUAGACACUGACACUCAGACCCGAAAGCGUGGGGAU